Molecule: transfer RNA, 78 nt
Filed under: Alphaproteobacteria bacterium
Lineage: Bacteria; Pseudomonadati; Pseudomonadota; Alphaproteobacteria
Description: tRNA-Arg
Rfam family: tRNA
About the family: Transfer RNA (tRNA) molecules are approximately 80 nucleotides in length. Their secondary structure includes four short double-helical elements and three loops (D, anti-codon, and T loops).
Source: RNAcentral
GGUCUCGUAGCUCCAUGGACAAAGAGCAGCCGGCUUCUACCCGGCGGGUUGAGGGUUCGAGUCCCUCCGAGACCGCCA